AACCAAGUAAUGGAAACAUGAUUUUUUUUUCUUUUCUACAAAGCCUGCAAUGUCAUUUCUCAGACUCCAAAUGGAAAGUUUACUCUGGUAGUUCCACACCAGCAUCGAAACUGCAGCUUCUCCAUAAUUUAUCCUGCGGUGAUCAAAAUAUCUGAUCUCACCCUGGGACACGUAAAUGGUCUUCAGUUAAAGAAAUCCUCAGCAGGUUGCGAGGGAAUAGGAGACUUUGUGGAGCUGCUGGGAGGAACUGGAUUGGACCCUUCCAAGAUGAUGACUUUAGCUGAUCUCUGCUACCCGUUUCAUGGCCCGGUUUUGUUUAGGACCAGCCCAGAGUGCAAUCUUGCCUGUGUGGAAUGGAUGGGAUGAGAGAUGGAUGGGCCCAGCCUUAGAAGCAAGAUCUAGACCUAUAAGUAUAGUCAUCAGAAUGGAGAGGGAAGAACCCAGACUUUGGGGACCCAAUGUAGAGUCCUGCAUGACCCCUUGUUCACUAUCAAACUGACUUCCACAUACAGGAGCCCCAAAAGGCACAGGAAUGGAUGCCAACAGACUCAUUAGCACCUCCUCAAUAUCACCUCAGUCCACUUAACUGAUAAACAGCUGUUGAAGAUGGCAAGAGCCAAAAUAAAACCGAGUUCUCAGCCAAAUAAAAUAUCUCUGAAAAGAGG
RNAcentral lists this small RNA (665 nucleotides) under Pongo abelii (Sumatran orangutan). Its description in RNAcentral is "processed transcript". Lineage: Eukaryota; Metazoa; Chordata; Mammalia; Primates; Hominidae. The record is from RNAcentral.